This 253-nucleotide ribosomal RNA is filed under the name uncultured bacterium. Its description in RNAcentral is "partial 16S ribosomal RNA". It matches the Rfam family "Bacterial small subunit ribosomal RNA", at positions 524 to 776 of the family's 1533-position model. The record is from RNAcentral.
UACGUAGGGUGCAAGCGUUAAUCGGAAUUACUGGGCGUAAAGCGUGCGCAGGCGGUUAUGUAAGACAGAUGUGAAAUCCCAGGGCUCAACCUUGGAACUGCAUUUGUGACUGCAUAGCUAGAGUACGGUAGAGGGGGAUGGAAUUCCGCGUGUAGCAGUGAAAUGCGUAGAUAUGCGGAGGAACACCGAUGGCGAAGGCAAUCCCCUGGACCUGUACUGACGCUCAUGCACGGAAGCGUGGGGAGCAAACAGG